UGGUACGCUGAAGGUGGUAACAUGGCCUUCAUGACCUCUUCAGUCAGCUGUGGUUGGUUAGCCGAUCAAUAGAAACUGAGGACUUCUUCCAAUUAGAUCUUCAACAUUUGAAGGUUCAUUGCCCCCAAGAAUGCAGCCAAACAAGUCAAAAUAAGCAACACUGCAACCAUCAGGUGAGUUUCUGCAUACUGCUUGUGAUCUAAACUGGUUGCUCCAGUAGAAUACUUCUCUGUAGUCUUACUUAUCUGUUCUGAUGCAUGCCAAACCUUGUUACUGUAGUAACUACUCACCCUAAGGUCCUAGAUUUUACGAAUACUUCUUAAAAUUAGUCCAACAGAGAAGCCCGGUGGAACAAUAAUUAAGAUAGAAAUGACAGUGAGGUAUCAUAAUUGAUUGUUCCUGUUAAGAGUUGAACCUGGUUGGGACAAAUCACAAAGUCCAUAUUUCUAGGAUACAGCACAUUUCUCAAAGGUCCUAUAUCUCACCUUAUUGACUAAGCAGCACUAGCAAGAUGCCCGUGCGUUGCACGGAACAUCAAGAUGCAUUUGUACGAGUAGUUUACCUUGUGAGAGAAAAGGAUGAACGAGGAAAGUCCUUAUCUGCAAGUGUGGAGAGAGGUGCAGGUAUCUUUUUGCAAAAUUGCCAUAGUUUGCUUUCUAUCCGUCAGAUAUAGAUCGGACGGUCUAUAUUACACGAUGGUAGGCACACCAUCAUCACCAACUCGGUCUUUUAUAAGAGUAGAGAUCCAUAUCCUAACAUUAAGUGGAUAACUUUUUUAUAUUUUAUUGGGCGGGAAAAAUAAACAACCUGAACCGUGGACCAACCAAACCAAACUUGCACGCUAGCCAACUUUCCAACAAAGAAGUUCAGUAGUAGCAUCCACAACGCUUUAUUUAUACCUUCGAAGUGCGACCGACAAAGGCUAUGGCGGUAGCCACUUGUCACAUCAUCUUUUACAGCGAGGAUUGGCCAGAAGUAUACCGUCGUUGACCAUGGCAGUACCCUGUAUAUUUCUACCGCCAACGUGUAUAGGAAAAGUCAGAUCCAGAAAGAUUUACAAACAAUCAUUAAGUCGUGCUAAACUUUUCUCGAAAGGUCAAAACAGUGAAUUUGUACGCAUGUGGGCAUACCCAUGGUAGGAAUCAUGUCAGGUUUGAAUGAUUUCUGACUCCGGAUGCAAGUUGUGACACGUGUUCGACCAUGUAUUGGCCUUUUUUUACCGAGAUAACUCUAAUUUUUUUAUAAAAUUUGUCUAAAAUCAAAACAACUUGGCAUGGUGCAUUGAAUUGGUAAUACAAGGCCAUGGAAAAAAUUGGGCCAUUUUAAGGAUGUCCCAAAACAACAUGCUCUCAGAUAGAGCCUUCUGGCCUACCCGAACACCCUCCGUUGAACAUGAUUUAUUUUUGGACAUGCUUAAAAUGAACCCAACUUUUGCAAGUAGGUGGGGAUGCUCAUGGUAGACACCCAUGCCAUGUUUUAAUAACUUCCUACACCAUUUGCACAUUGCGACAUGUCCAUCCCUUUAUCAACAUUUUUACAACGGGAAAACUCCAGAAAAUGCAAAACUUCUCAAAAACUCAAACAACUUGGCAUGGUACCUUGAAUUGCUCAUACAAGACCAUGGAAAAAAUUGGGGUAAUUUAAAGGAUGUCGAGAAACAACGUGCUUUUAGACGGAGCCUUCUCGCAUACCCGAGCAUCCUUCAUUGAACAUAGUAUAUUUUUUUGACAUCCUUCCUUAAAAUUACAUGCCUCUAGCUCAAUAUAAGAAUGGAUCAAGACCCCCACAUGUUCGUAUUCUCUAGUUCAACAUGACACCAUCUAAUUAGAGCCAAACCUAUAAAAAAAUUAUUGGCACGUGCCCAUAAUUUGUUUCAAUUAUAAUUAACCAGCAUAUUCUCUUUUAUUGGCACAUGGAAGCUACCACUGUCGAUAAUUUAUGGUGUCCCUUAUUCUGAACAAGCCGACUUAGCUCAAUGCGCCGGAUGCGAAGCAGGCCCAGUAUGGGAGUGAUUGAUCUCACGAGCUCAAAGACACGACCACAUGUUGCUAGCCACUCAAACAAACGCGUUCUGCUAAGCAAUGAUCAACAUGAAUAUUAAAGAAUAUAAUGCAACGUCAAAUUAAAAACUUUUUUUUGAACUUUUCAAAAGCUUUUAACUAUGAAAUGCCAAAUAUACUUGGCAACGUGAAUGAUUUUCCAAAUUAUGAUUUGUUUUAAAAUACCACACAUUUUAAAAAAGACGAACAAAAAAUUUGAACGGAACAUUUGUUGAAAUUCACAAAAAUUUCUUAAAAGCAUGAACGUUUUAUAAAAAUAUGUUUUUUUUUCUUAAGUUGUGAACAAUUUUUGGUAACGGUAACAUAUUUUGAACAUAUAGAAGAAAUUUAGAAAAUAUGUCUUUUAAUGCAAAAAUUAUUUCCAAUUUUUUAACAUAUCACUAAAACAAGAAUAUUUUUCAAAUUUGUAACAUUGUUUAAAUCUUGCACAAAUUUGGAAAAAGCCAAACAUCUUUCAAAAAUGGAAUAAUUGUUUUUAAUUCUGAAAAAAAAAUUAAAAUUUCAAACAUAUUUUAAAUAGGAACACAUUUUUGGAAUUCAUAACCUGAACUACCGAAUAUACUUGGCAACGUGAACAAUUUUCCAAAUUAUGAACAAUUCUUUGAAAAUUUCAUACAUUUUUGGACAAAGCAAGAAGAAAAAAUUGAACGGAACAUCUCCUGAAAUGCACAUACAUUUAAAAACAUGAACCUUCUUAUAAAAAAACGAACAUCUAAGUUGUGAACAAUUUUUUAAAAUGGGAACAUGUUUUAAACAUGCAGAAGAAUUUUAGUAAAUGUGUUUCUUUAAUGCAAAUAUUCUUUUCAAUUUUUAAACAUACCGCUAAAACAAGAAUAUUUUUCGAAUUUGGAAUAUUUUUCAAAUGCAUUUGUUUAAACCUUGAACAAUUUCUUAAAAUACAAAUAUUUUUUAAAAAGUGGGAAUAAUUUUGAAAUUUUGAACAAAUGUUGGCAUGACAAAAAAAAUCCAAAUAUUUUUUGAAUAAGAACACAUUUUUUGUAAUUCGUAUCUUUUUACGAAAUUAUGAAUAAAAAUUGAAAUUCCGAACAUUUUUGAAAAUUAUGAAUUUCAGAAAAAAUUGAAAAAUAGACUUGCAAUGAGAAAAUAAUAAAGAAGCAGCAAAUAAAUAGAGAAAGAAACAGAAAAAGAAAAUUUGAUACAGAAGACAAACAAAAAUGGGCCGCCGAGUCUUGGGCGCCCAGUGCGUAGCUGUAACUAUUUGCCGCAUUGAGCGGGAAAUAAGAUUUUUUCUUGCUGCGUGGGCAGGAGAAAUGGGUUGAUUUUACUGGGCCAUAGGGUGCACAGCACACGUACGAAAUUCUGCAGAAAUCGUUUUUCCUUUGCUAACAAGCGGACGUACGAAAGUUUAGUACCACCUCGGAUAGAUUUUUUUUUUUUGAAGGUGAACGGAUGAAAAAAUUAGAGAAAUACACCUUAUUUUAUUAGUAGGUAUAGAUAUAGAUAUAGAUAAAGCACAACAGCAGUUUUAUGGUUAAUAAAGUUUCUUGCUCAGUUUCAAAUAAAAGAAAUUCUUACAUCUGUGUGCCGGUUAAGUGCAACCUCUCAGAGCUAAAGCAAGUGAGGACGCUAAUAGCCAGAUGCCAAUUCAGACGUUUCUUUUUAAUUGAAAUUCUUCUGGAUCCAUUUCUGAACGAAUCUUUACUUUCUUUGCGUGCUUUCCCAAGGUUAUCCUGUGAUGUCCCUUUUGUUUGCUUGUAUUUACCCUCAUGUUGCAGUUCUCCAGCAGGGUGUGGAUUUCUGUUGGUUUAUGAUGGGCUGAUCCCACUGUAGGUAUGGACCUUCCUUCAUGAAGCUUGAGGAAGCACUCACUUUUCCAUCCACGGGAUUCUUGGUUCUGCACUUAGUCUUGAACCUUUGUUGGUUUGGGACGUCAAUCUCAUUCGUCAUAUCCGUCUUGUCCAUUAUGGGCGGAUGCGCGAGCUUGAAAGAGAUACUGCAAUUUGAAUAGUUAAUGCUGCUCACACUACUGUAUAUAGUCGAUAAAUUGCUGAUUUUUUCUUUCUUUCUGUCAUAUGCCUGAGUUAUACAACAACAACAACAACAAACAACAAAGCCUUUAGUCCCAAACAAGUUAAGUUAUACUACCUCCGCUCCAAAAUACUAUUUGAAGUUCUCUGUUUAUCUUAAGUCAACUUCUUGAAGUUUUGAUCAUGUAUAUAAAAAAAUUAUUAAUAUGUCCAUUCAAUUGGAUUACACAACCUGUCUCC
RNAcentral lists this long non-coding RNA (4288 nucleotides) under Triticum aestivum (bread wheat). Its description in RNAcentral is "long non-coding RNA (TAES_LNC014545)". Lineage: Eukaryota; Viridiplantae; Streptophyta; Magnoliopsida; Poales; Poaceae. The record is from RNAcentral.